RNAcentral lists this ribosomal RNA (253 nucleotides) under uncultured bacterium. RNAcentral describes it as "partial 16S ribosomal RNA". It matches the Rfam family "Bacterial small subunit ribosomal RNA", at positions 524 to 776 of the family's 1533-position model. The record is from RNAcentral.
UACGGAGGGUGCAAGCGUUAUCCGGAUUCACUGGGUUUAAAGGGUGCGUAGGAGGGCAGGUAAGUCAGCGGUGAAAUCCCCGAGCUUAACUUGGGAACUGCCGUUGAUACUAUCUGUCUUGAAUAUCGUGGAGGUGAGCGGAAUAUGUCAUGUAGCGGUGAAAUGCUUAGAUAUGACAUAGAACACCAAUUGCGAAGGCAGCUCGCUACACGAAUAUUGACUCUGAGGCACGAAAGCGUGGGGAUCAAACAGG